This 292-nucleotide ribosomal RNA is filed under the name uncultured bacterium. RNAcentral describes it as "partial 16S ribosomal RNA". It matches the Rfam family "Bacterial small subunit ribosomal RNA", at positions 505 to 796 of the family's 1533-position model. The record is from RNAcentral.
GUGCCAGCAGCCGCGGUAAUACGUAGGGGGCGAGCGUUGUCCGAAUUUACUGGGCGUAAAGCGCGUGUAGGCGGCUCUUUAAGUGAGAUGUGAAAUCCCGUGGCUCAACCACGGAACUGCAUUUCAAACUGGAGGGCUUGAAUUUGGGAGAGGAAAGUGGAAUUCCUGGUGUAGCGGUGAAAUGCGUAGAUAUCAGGAGGAACACCCGUGGCGAAGGCGGCUUUCUGGCCCAACAUUGACGCUGAGACGCGAAAGCUAGGGGAGCGAACGGGAUUAGAUACCCGGGUAGUCC